Molecule: small nucleolar RNA, 131 nt
Filed under: Dasypus novemcinctus (nine-banded armadillo)
Lineage: Eukaryota; Metazoa; Chordata; Mammalia; Cingulata; Dasypodidae
Description: Small nucleolar RNA SNORA31 (ENSDNOG00000041044.1)
Rfam family: Small nucleolar RNA SNORA31
About the family: ACA31 (SNORA31) belongs to the H/ACA class of snoRNAs which are thought to guide the sites of modification of uridines to pseudouridines. ACA31 is predicted to guide the pseudouridylation of U3713 in 28S rRNA and U218 in 18S rRNA.
Source: RNAcentral
AUGCAUCUCUGACAGCCCUGGAGCAGUUAAUGUCUGCUACUAAGGGUUUUACUAUAGAGCAAGAAAAAGAAGUCCUCGCACUUUCUGUCUGUCUCGUUGUAGCAACCAAGAUUGAAUGGGGGAAUACAGGA